This is a long non-coding RNA of Populus euphratica (Euphrates poplar), 667 nucleotides long. RefSeq lists it as uncharacterized. Lineage: Eukaryota; Viridiplantae; Streptophyta; Magnoliopsida; Malpighiales; Salicaceae. The transcript has 3 exons. The record is from RefSeq and is a predicted model, not a curated record.
AUUUUAAUCAAUGACAAACCAAGCAACUGUUGCCCAGUCCAAGGUAGCCCAAGACAGUAACUGGGCUGCACCGACCACCUUGUCAAUCUCAUAUUCUGGUCAGCUCCAAUGAACAGUGUAUGCGUGGACAUUGUUGGCUCUGCGGGAUGAAAGAUAGGUUGCAGAGAAAAGGGACCAAUGGAAUUGCUUUUAGCACAACACUCUGAUCGCUGCACAGUUUCAUGCUGCUAUAUGGCAUUGUGUCAUUGGUGUGGACUGAUUGCUGUAAAAGUGGAUUAAGACGUCUGAGGAGGUGCUGGUUCCAAGGAUAUUCUUGCCCGAGUUAUGAUGCCAAACUGACCAAGUCCUCCAAGAACACUGUGAAAUAGGUCGCUAUUUUGCUUCUCCGAGCAAUUUAGUACUUCCCCUUUUCCUGCACUCAGUUUCAGUAAUUUUACAUAAAGGAUUUGUGCGAUACACGAUUUUUUUUCAUGCUAUUUAUUCAUAUGUGUGUGCUCGUGAACCCUCAUGUGUUUUAUUUUUGUACUUGAACAUCAAAUUAUUGGCAAUGGUCAAGUUAUCUUAUGUGGAACCAAGGUGUGGCACAGCAUGCAUAGCAAGGACGUCAUAAAUACUUCACUCGACCCUGGUUCCAUUAUGCCUAGAUUGAAAUUAUCCUUUUGUGAUG